Molecule: ribosomal RNA, 497 nt
Filed under: uncultured bacterium
Lineage: Bacteria
Description: partial 16S ribosomal RNA
Rfam family: Bacterial small subunit ribosomal RNA
Source: RNAcentral
GACGAACGCUGGCGGCGCGCCUAAUACAUGCAAGUAGAACGCUGAAGAGACGAGCUUGCUCUUCUUGGAUGAGUUGCGAACGGGUGAGUAACGCGUAGGUAACCUGCCUUGUAGCGGGGGAUAACUAUUGGAAACGAUAGCUAAUACCGCAUAACAAUGGAUGACACAUGUCAUUUAUUUGAAAGGGGCAAUUGCUCCACUACAAGAUGGACCUGCGUUGUAUUAGCUAGUAGGUGAGGUAAUGGCUCACCUAGGCGACGAUACAUAGCCGACCUGAGAGGGUGAUCGGCCACACUGGGACUGAGACACGGCCCAGACUCCUACGGGAGGCAGCAGUAGGGAAUCUUCGGCAAUGGGGGCAACCCUGACCGAGCAACGCCGCGUGAGUGAAGAAGGUUUUCGGAUCGUAAAGCUCUGUUGUAAGUCAAGAACGGGUGUGAGAGUGGAAAGUUCACACUGUGACGGUAGCUUACCAGAAAGGGACGGCUAACUACGUG